Molecule: ribosomal RNA, 476 nt
Filed under: uncultured bacterium
Lineage: Bacteria
Description: bacterial SSU rRNA
Rfam family: Bacterial small subunit ribosomal RNA
Source: RNAcentral
ACUCCUACGGGAGGCAGCAGUGGGGAAUUUUUGGCAAUGGGGGCAACCCUGACCAAGCAACGCCGCGUGGGUGAUGAAGUCUCUUGGGACGUAAAACCCUUUCGACGGGGAAGAAAACCGCMAGGUUUGACGGUACCCGUAGAAGAAGCCCCGGCUAACUCCGUGCCAGCAGCCGCGGUWAUACGGGGGGGGCAAGCGUUGUUCGGAAUUACUGGGCGUAAAGGGCGCGUAGGCGGUUCGCUAAGUUGGAUGUGAAAACUCUGGGCUCAACCCAGAGCCUGCAUCCAAAACUGGCGGGCUAGAGUUCUGGAGGGGGUAGCGGAAUUCCUGGUGUAGCGGUGAAAUGCGUAGAUAUCAGGAGGAACACCGGUGGCGAAGGCGGCUACCUGGACAGAAACUGACGCUGAGGCGCGAAAGCUAGGGGAGCAAACAGGAUUAGAUACCCUGGUAGUCCUAGCCCUAAACGAUGGAUACUU